This 2900-nucleotide ribosomal RNA is filed under the name Klebsiella pneumoniae MGH 30. Its description in RNAcentral is "bacterial LSU rRNA". It matches the Rfam family "Bacterial large subunit ribosomal RNA". Lineage: Bacteria; Pseudomonadati; Pseudomonadota; Gammaproteobacteria; Enterobacterales; Enterobacteriaceae. The record is from RNAcentral.
UUAAGCGACUAAGCGUACACGGUGGAUGCCCUGGCAGUCAGAGGCGAUGAAGGACGUGCUAAUCUGCGAAAAGCGUCGGUAAGGUGAUAUGAACCGUUAUAACCGGCGAUGUCCGAAUGGGGAAACCCAGUGCAAUUCGUUGCACUAUCGUUAACUGAAUACAUAGGUUAACGAGGCGAACCGGGGGAACUGAAACAUCUAAGUACCCCGAGGAAAAGAAAUCAACCGAGAUUCCCCCAGUAGCGGCGAGCGAACGGGGAGCAGCCCAGAGUCUGAAUCAGCUUGUGUGUUAGUGGAACGGUCUGGAAAGUCCGACGGUACAGGGUGAUAGUCCCGUACACCAAAAUGCACAGGCUGUGAACUCGAAGAGUAGGGCGGGACACGUGGUAUCCUGUCUGAAUAUGGGGGGACCAUCCUCCAAGGCUAAAUACUCCUGACUGACCGAUAGUGAACCAGUACCGUGAGGGAAAGGCGAAAAGAACCCCGGCGAGGGGAGUGAAAAAGAACCUGAAACCGUGUACGUACAAGCAGUGGGAGCACCUUCGGGUGUGACUGCGUACCUUUUGUAUAAUGGGUCAGCGACUUAUAUUCUGUAGCAAGGUUAACCGUAUAGGGGAGCCGCAGGGAAACCGAGUCUUAACUGGGCGUUAAGUUGCAGGGUAUAGACCCGAAACCCGGUGAUCUAGCCAUGGGCAGGUUGAAGGUUGGGUAACACUAACUGGAGGACCGAACCGACUAAUGUUGAAAAAUUAGCGGAUGACUUGUGGCUGGGGGUGAAAGGCCAAUCAAACCGGGAGAUAGCUGGUUCUCCCCGAAAGCUAUUUAGGUAGCGCCUCGUGAAUUCAUCUUCGGGGGUAGAGCACUGUUUCGGCUAGGGGGUCAUCCCGACUUACCAACCCGAUGCAAACUACGAAUACCGAAGAAUGUUAUCACGGGAGACACACGGCGGGUGCUAACGUCCGUCGUGAAGAGGGAAACAACCCAGACCGCCAGCUAAGGUCCCAAAGUCAUGGUUAAGUGGGAAACGAUGUGGGAAGGCACAGACAGCCAGGAUGUUGGCUUAGAAGCAGCCAUCAUUUAAAGAAAGCGUAAUAGCUCACUGGUCGAGUCGGCCUGCGCGGAAGAUGUAACGGGGCUAAACCAUGCACCGAAGCUGCGGCAGCGACACUAUGUGUUGUUGGGUAGGGGAGCGUUCUGUAAGCCUGCGAAGGUGUGCUGUGAGGCAUGCUGGAGGUAUCAGAAGUGCGAAUGCUGACAUAAGUAACGAUAAAGCGGGUGAAAAGCCCGCUCGCCGGAAGACCAAGGGUUCCUGUCCAACGUUAAUCGGGGCAGGGUGAGUCGACCCCUAAGGCGAGGCCGAAAGGCGUAGUCGAUGGGAAACAGGUUAAUAUUCCUGUACUUGGUGUUACUGCGAAGGGGGGACGGAGAAGGCUAUGUUAGCCGGGCGAUGGUUGUCCCGGUUUAAGCAUGUAGGCUGGUUAUCCAGGCAAAUCCGGAUAAUCAAGGCUGAGGUGUGAUGACGAGGCACUACGGUGCUGAAGUAACAAAUGCCCUGCUUCCAGGAAAAGCCUCUAAGCAUCAGGUAACAUCAAAUCGUACCCCAAACCGACACAGGUGGUCAGGUAGAGAAUACCAAGGCGCUUGAGAGAACUCGGGUGAAGGAACUAGGCAAAAUGGUGCCGUAACUUCGGGAGAAGGCACGCUGGUGUGUAGGUGAAGCCCCUGCGGGUGGAGCUGAGACCAGUCGAAGAUACCAGCUGGCUGCAACUGUUUAUUAAAAACACAGCACUGUGCAAACACGAAAGUGGACGUAUACGGUGUGACGCCUGCCCGGUGCCGGAAGGUUAAUUGAUGGGGUUAUCCGUAAGGAGAAGCUCUUGAUCGAAGCCCCGGUAAACGGCGGCCGUAACUAUAACGGUCCUAAGGUAGCGAAAUUCCUUGUCGGGUAAGUUCCGACCUGCACGAAUGGCGUAAUGAUGGCCAGGCUGUCUCCACCCGAGACUCAGUGAAAUUGAACUCGCUGUGAAGAUGCAGUGUACCCGCGGCAAGACGGAAAGACCCCGUGAACCUUUACUAUAGCUUGACACUGAACAUUGAGCCUUGAUGUGUAGGAUAGGUGGGAGGCUUUGAAGCGUGGACGCCAGUCUGCGUGGAGCCAACCUUGAAAUACCACCCUUUAAUGUUUGAUGUUCUAACGUUGGCCCCUGACCGGGGUUGCGGACAGUGUCUGGUGGGUAGUUUGACUGGGGCGGUCUCCUCCCAAAGCGUAACGGAGGAGCACGAAGGUUAGCUAAUCCUGGUCGGACAUCAGGAGGUUAGUGCAAUGGCAUAAGCUAGCUUGACUGCGAGCGUGACGGCGCGAGCAGGUGCGAAAGCAGGUCAUAGUGAUCCGGUGGUUCUGAAUGGAAGGGCCAUCGCUCAACGGAUAAAAGGUACUCCGGGGAUAACAGGCUGAUACCGCCCAAGAGUUCAUAUCGACGGCGGUGUUUGGCACCUCGAUGUCGGCUCAUCACAUCCUGGGGCUGAAGUAGGUCCCAAGGGUAUGGCUGUUCGCCAUUUAAAGUGGUACGCGAGCUGGGUUUAGAACGUCGUGAGACAGUUCGGUCCCUAUCUGCCGUGGGCGCUGGAGAAUUGAGGGGGGCUGCUCCUAGUACGAGAGGACCGGAGUGGACGCAUCACUGGUGUUCGGGUUGUCAUGCCAAUGGCACUGCCCGGUAGCUAAAUGCGGAAGAGAUAAGUGCUGAAAGCAUCUAAGCACGAAACUUGCCCCGAGAUGAGUUCUCCCUGAGACUUUAAGUCUCCUGAAGGAACGUUGAAGACGACGACGUUGAUAGGCCGGGUGUGUAAGCGCAGCGAUGCGUUGAGCUAACCGGUACUAAUGAACCGUGAGGCUUAACCUU